RNAcentral lists this ribosomal RNA (253 nucleotides) under uncultured bacterium. RNAcentral describes it as "partial 16S ribosomal RNA". It matches the Rfam family "Bacterial small subunit ribosomal RNA", at positions 524 to 776 of the family's 1533-position model. The record is from RNAcentral.
UACGUAGGGCGCAAGCGUUGUCCGGAAUUAUUGGGCGUAAAGAGCUCGUAGGCGGCUUGUCACGUCGGGUGUGAAAGCCCGGGGCUUAACCCCGGGUCUGCAUUCGAUACGGGUUGGCUAGAGUGUGGUAGGGGAGAUCGGAAUUCCUGGUGUAGCGGUGAAAUGCGCAGAUAUCAGGAGGAACACCGGUGGCGAAGGCGGAUCUCUGGGCCAUUACUGACGCUGAGGAGCGAAAGCGUGGGGAGCGAACAGG